Transfer RNA from Dichomitus squalens LYAD-421 SS1, 100 nucleotides. It matches the Rfam family "tRNA". Rfam says of the family: Transfer RNA (tRNA) molecules are approximately 80 nucleotides in length. Their secondary structure includes four short double-helical elements and three loops (D, anti-codon, and T loops). The record is from Rfam. NCBI's taxonomy places the organism in Eukaryota, Fungi, Basidiomycota, Agaricomycetes, Polyporales, Polyporaceae.
GGCUACCUGGCGCAAUGGUAGCGCGUUUGGCUUCGAUUGCCUCGCGUACUCUCGGGUCAUGGGAACCAAAAGGUUGCAAGUUCGAGUCUUGCGGUGGUCG